This 24-nucleotide transfer RNA is filed under the name Nicrophorus podagricus. RNAcentral describes it as "partial tRNA-Leu". Lineage: Eukaryota; Metazoa; Arthropoda; Insecta; Coleoptera; Silphidae. The record is from RNAcentral.
GUCUAUACUUUUUUUAGAAAACUA